AUUGAACGCUGGCGGCAUGCCUUACACAUGCAAGUCGAGCGGUGCAGUUUGAAGCUUCGGUGGAAAGCUGCAUAGCGGCGGACGGGUGAGGAAAACGUAGGAACGUGCCCCUUGGAGUUGGAUAGCCACGGGAAACUGUGGGUAAACCGACAUAGACUCGAGAGAGUAAAGGCCGAAAGGCGCCAAGGGAGCGGCCUGCGGCCCAUCAGGUAGUUGGUAGUGUAAAGGACUACCAAGCCGACGACGGGUAGCCGGUCUGAGAGGAUGGCCGGCCACAAGGGCACUGAGAGACGGGCCCUACUCCUACGGGAGGCAGCAGUGGGGGAUUUUGGACAAUGGGGGAAACCCUGAUCUAGCCAUGCCGCGUGAACGAUGAAGGCCUUAGGGUUGUAAAGCUCUUUCAGAUGGGAAGAUAAUGACGGUACCAUCAGAAGAAGCCCCGGCUAACUCCGUG
Molecule: ribosomal RNA, 454 nt
Filed under: uncultured bacterium
Lineage: Bacteria
Description: bacterial SSU rRNA
Rfam family: Bacterial small subunit ribosomal RNA
Source: RNAcentral